AUUGAACGCUGGCGGCAGGCCUAACACAUGCAAGUCGAAUGGUAACAGGAAACAGCUUGCUGUUUCGCUGACGAGUGGCGGACGGGUGAGUAAUGUCUGGGAAACUGCCUGAUGGAGGGGGAUAACUACUGGAAACGGUAGCUAAUACCGCAUAACGUCGCAAGACCAAAGAGGGGGACCUUCGGGCCUCUUGCCAUCAGAUGUGCCCAGAUGGGAUUAGCUAGUAGGUGGGGUAACGACUCACCUAGGCGACGAUCCCUAGCUGGUCUGAGAGGAUGACCAGCCACACUGGAACUGAGACACGGUCCAGACUCCUACGGGAGGCAGCAGUGGGGAAUAGUGCACAAUGGGCGCAAGCCUGAUGCAGCCAUGCCGCGUGUAUGAAGAAGGCCUUCGGGUUGUAAAGUACUUUCAGCGGGGAGGAAGGGAGUAAAGUUAAUACCUUUGCUCAUUGACGUUACCCGCAGAAGAAGCACCGGCUAACUCCGUG
This 490-nucleotide ribosomal RNA is filed under the name uncultured bacterium. RNAcentral describes it as "partial 16S ribosomal RNA". It matches the Rfam family "Bacterial small subunit ribosomal RNA", at positions 30 to 507 of the family's 1533-position model. The record is from RNAcentral.